GGAAAUGAUGAUAGGUUUUGUCGCCCCAGUCUUAUUUGCAAACUAUUGUUGCAAGGUGGUGAUUGACAUUUUUAUCUGAUCC
Molecule: small nucleolar RNA, 82 nt
Organism: Ziziphus jujuba (common jujube)
Lineage: Eukaryota; Viridiplantae; Streptophyta; Magnoliopsida; Rosales; Rhamnaceae
Product: small nucleolar RNA U31b
Exons: 1
Source: RefSeq, a predicted model, not a curated record